This 325-nucleotide ribosomal RNA is filed under the name uncultured bacterium. Its description in RNAcentral is "bacterial SSU rRNA". It matches the Rfam family "Bacterial small subunit ribosomal RNA", at positions 28 to 334 of the family's 1533-position model. The record is from RNAcentral.
GAUGAACGCUGGCGGCGUGCUUAACACAUGCAAGUCGAACGAAGCACUUACCAAGGAUUCCUCCGGGAUGACUAGUAAGUGACUGAGUGGCGGACGGGUGAGUAACGCGUGGGUAACCUACCUCAUACAGGGGGAUAACAGUUAGAAAUGACUGCUAAUACCGCAUAAGCGCACAGUACUGCAUGGUACAGUGUGAAAAACUCCGGUGGUAUGAGAUGGACCCGCGUCUGAUUAGCUAGUUGGUAAGGUAACGGCUUACCAAGGCGACGAUCAGUAGCCGGCCUGAGAGGGUGAACGGCCACAUUGGAACUGAGACACGGUCCAA